RNAcentral lists this transfer RNA (67 nucleotides) under Cicadella viridis. RNAcentral describes it as "tRNA-Leu". The record is from RNAcentral. Lineage: Eukaryota; Metazoa; Arthropoda; Insecta; Hemiptera; Cicadellidae.
GCUAAUUUGGCAGAUAAAUUGUUUUAAAUUUAGAAUUUAAUUAUAUGAGUAAAAUUCAUAUUUAGCA